CCGGAGCUAAUACCGGAUAAUAUUCGAACCGCAUGGUUCGAUAGUGAAAGGUGGUUUUGCUAUCACUUAUAGAUGGACCCGCGCCGUAUUAGCUAGUUGGUAAGGUAACGGCUUACCAAGGCGACGAUACGUAGCCGACCUGAGAGGGUGAUCGGCCACACUGGAACUGAGACACGGUCCAGACUCCUACGGGAGGCAGCAGAC
Molecule: ribosomal RNA, 204 nt
Filed under: uncultured Staphylococcus sp.
Lineage: Bacteria; Bacillati; Bacillota; Bacilli; Caryophanales; Staphylococcaceae
Description: partial 16S ribosomal RNA
Rfam family: Bacterial small subunit ribosomal RNA
Source: RNAcentral